UCUGGGUAAGGNGCCAGCGGUAAUAAACCAAUGUAAUCCCGGGCUCAACCUGGAACUGCAUUAGUACUGANAGUAAAUGCGGCAAAGGGAAUGAAUUCCGCGUGUANCAGUGAAAUGCGUAAUAUCGAAGAACCCCGAUGNCGAAGCCAAUCCCNUGGGCCUGCAUNACGCUCAUGCACGAAAGCGUGGNAGCAACAGAUUAGAUACCNUGGUAGUCCACGCCNUAACGAUGUCAACUGGUUGUUGGUCUUCACUGACUCAGUAACGAAGCUAACGCGUAAGUUGACCGCCUGGGGAGUACGGCCGCAAGGUUAAAACUCAAAGAAUUGACGGGGACCCGCACAAGCGGUGGAUGAUGUGGUUUAAUUCGAUGCAACGCGAAAAACCUUACCCACCUUUGACAUGUACGGAAGAUCGCAGAGACGCGAUUGUGCUCGAAAGAGAGCCGUAACACAGGUGCUGCAUGGCUGUCGUCAGCUCGUGUCGUGAGAUGUUGGGUUAAGUCCCGCAACGAGCGCAACCCUUGCCAUUAGUUGCUACAUUCAGUUGGGCACUCUAAUGGGACUGCCGGUGACAAACCGGAGGAAGGUGGGGAUGACGUCAAGUCCUCAUGGCCCUUAUAGGUGGGGCUACACACGUCAUACAAUGGCUGGUACAAAGGGUUGCCAACCCGCGAGGGGGAGCUAAUCCCAUAAAGCCAGUCGUAGUCCGGAUCGUAGUCUGCAACUCGACUACGUGAAGUCGGAAUCGCUAGUAAUCGUGGAUCAGAAUGUCACGGUGAAUACGUUCCCGGGUCUUGUACACACCGCCCGUCACACCAUGGGAGCGGGUUCUGCCAGAAGUAGGUAGCCUAACCGUAAGGAGGGCGCUUACCACGGCAGGGUUCGUGACUGGGGUGAAGUCGUAACAAGGUAACC
This 917-nucleotide ribosomal RNA is filed under the name uncultured bacterium. RNAcentral's name for it is "bacterial SSU rRNA". It matches the Rfam family "Bacterial small subunit ribosomal RNA", at positions 553 to 1501 of the family's 1533-position model. The record is from RNAcentral.